UCGAGAAUCUUCGUCAAUGGUCGAAAGACUGAACGAGCGACGCCGCGUGCGGGAUGAAGGCCCUCGGGUUGUAAACCGCUGUCAGUGGGAAUGAAAUGCUAGGGGGAUCACUCCCUAGCUUGACAGACCCGCAGAGGAAGGACGGGCUAAGUUCGUGCCAGCAGCCGCGGUAAUACGAACCGUCCAAACGUUAUUCGGAAUCACUGGGCUUAAAGGGUGCGUAGGCGGCUCGGUAAGUUGGGUGUGAAAUCCCACGGCUCAACCGUGGAAUUGCGCUCAAAACUGUCGAGCUUGAGGGAGAUAGAGGUGAGCGGAACUUCGGGUGGAGCGGUGAAAUGCGUUGAUAUCCGAAGGAACACCGGUGGCGAAAGCGGCUCACUGGGUCUCUUCUGACGCUGAGGCACGAAAGCUAGGGGAGCGAACG
RNAcentral lists this ribosomal RNA (424 nucleotides) under uncultured prokaryote. RNAcentral describes it as "bacterial SSU rRNA". It matches the Rfam family "Bacterial small subunit ribosomal RNA", at positions 355 to 774 of the family's 1533-position model. The record is from RNAcentral.